UCCCUGGUGGUCUAGUGGCUAAGACUCUGAGCUCCCAAUGCAGGGGACCCAGGUUCAUUUCCUUCUCAGGGAA
RNAcentral lists this transfer RNA (73 nucleotides) under Ovis aries (sheep). It matches the Rfam family "tRNA". Rfam says of the family: Transfer RNA (tRNA) molecules are approximately 80 nucleotides in length. Their secondary structure includes four short double-helical elements and three loops (D, anti-codon, and T loops). The record is from Rfam by way of RNAcentral. Lineage: Eukaryota; Metazoa; Chordata; Mammalia; Artiodactyla; Bovidae.